GAUGAAGAACGCAGCGAAAUGCGAUAAGUAAUGCGAAUUGCAGAAUUUCCGUGAGUCAUCGAAUCUUUGAACGCACAUUGCGCCCCCUGGUAUUCCGGGGGGCAUGCCUGUUCGAGCGUCAUUUCACCACUCAAGCCUCGCUUGGUAUUGGGCAACGCGGUCCGCCGCGUGCCUCAAAUCGACCGGCUGGGUCUUCUGUCCCCUAAGCGUUGUGGAAACUUUCGCUAAAGGGUGUUCGGGAGGCUACGCCGUAAAACAACCCCAUUUCUAAGGUUGACCUCGGAUCAGGUAGGGAUACCCGCUGAACUUAAGCAUAUCAAUAAGCGGAGGA
RNAcentral lists this unclassified non-coding RNA (331 nucleotides) under soil metagenome. Its description in RNAcentral is "partial contains 5.8S ribosomal RNA, internal transcribed spacer 2, and large subunit ribosomal RNA". The stretch from base 1 to 121 matches the Rfam family "5.8S ribosomal RNA", at positions 35 to 154 of the family's 154-position model. The record is from RNAcentral.